Lytechinus pictus (painted urchin) is the source of this 1730-nucleotide long non-coding RNA. RefSeq lists it as uncharacterized. The record is from RefSeq and is a predicted model, not a curated record. The transcript is spliced from 2 exons. Lineage: Eukaryota; Metazoa; Echinodermata; Echinoidea; Temnopleuroida; Toxopneustidae.
GAUGCAAUGUCAAGAAUCCAGAUGCGAACAAAACAAAGUUUUUGAGUCAUUUCUAUAAAAUGCAGAUACUUCGGUAAGAUCGCCGACACAACUCAUCAAACUUUAACAAGUGUUAUAUUGAUAUAUUGAUCAAGGCGACAAGAUGAAACUUGCUCUGUUGACCAUCGCCAUUCUCGUCGUGGUAAUCCCGUCAGUGAUUGCCGAUUACUCGAAUGUGUACCACUGGCAUAUCAAAUUCAAAGAUUUCCCCUGCGGUGUGCCCUCCUCCUCUUGGUCGGGAAGACGAAAGCGUGAUACCUACCUCAACAAGUGGGCUUGGAAACAUUCUAUGGUCUCCUUCAGAGAAAAGUACUAUGAGUGGGGAAAUGACAUAGUGAUAUAUAGAGAUGGGGGCAUCGGAAGACAGGGAAAAUCCCCCUGUAAUAAGUUUUAUGGACAGAAGAGCUACGUAGGACGAAGUAGAUGUACCAAGGAACAAGCGGAUCGGCUCGGGGCAUGGUACAUCCGUAAUAAUGUCUACUGGUUUAUGUUUAAUAAUUGUCAUCACUACGCAGAGUGGUUGAUUAACAGGUUGGUUAAUAAUAGGUGCUGACUUGUUAAAUCUUGUCUGGAUGGUUGGUUAACAAGUUGGUUAAUAAUACUGUAGGUGCUAUAUCUGGCUUGUUAAAUCUUGUCUGGAUGGUUGAUUAAGUUGGUUAAUGAUAGGUGCUAACCUGUUAAAUUUUGUCUGGAUGGUUGAUUGAGUUGGUUAGUAAUAGGUGCUAUAUCUUACUUGUUAUAUCUUGUCUGGAUGGUUAAUUAAGUUGGUUAAUAAUAGAUGCUGCCUUGUUAAAUCUUGUCUGGAUGGUUGAUUAACAAGUUGCUUAAUAGUAGGUGCUAUAUAUCUGACUAGAUAAAUCUUGUCUGGAUGGUUGAAUAACAAGUUGGUUAAUAAUAGGUGCUAUAUAUCAUGAUUGAUCGUAUAUGUUUAUUAUAAUGGAUUUUUUUCUUCUUGGUAGCAUUUAGUUUAGUGAAAUCCCGCUACUGUUUUUCUGUGGCAUUUUAUCUUGGAAUUGUUAUAAGUGUUAGCUUAUUUUCGAUUGUUGACUAUCCAUUCUUAUUCUUAUUAAAGAGACAAAAUAUGAACAAUAUUAUAAGAUUAUAUAGAGUUAUAAUCGGAAUGUACUGAGACUUGAGUCUAUUGACGUAUGGCUUAUCAAUACGUGGUCAUAAGAUUCCCCUCCUAAAAGUUCGCUUUAAGUCUUGGUUAAAUCAGUUUUCUUUUUUAUUUUCGAAGUUUUUCAUUUAUUGUCAAUAUGAAAUAAAUAUAAAAGAAAGUAAUGCCUGAAAUACGAUCUAAAAUACAAUGCUCGUUAAUAAACUUUACAAUCAAAAAGUAUAAUUUUAAAGUGUUUGCCUUGAUCCUCUGACAAGAAUCACCAUCACAGAUCGUGAUAUUAAAAAGGAAACUAAGUUUUACGAGUUCAGUGUUUAAUUAUCAAUCACUGUCAAGAACUCUUCGAUCGUAGUGCACGACAUAUGAACUAAUAUAAAAAUCAUAUCUUCCCUUCUUUUGUAAUAUUUGAGCAUUUUAAAGAGAACCUACGAAAAAGAUAUCUUUAUUAUCUGCCUUGAAUACACUGUAACAAUUAGAGUAGAAUUGUCGACAAAGCACCUGUGGUGUAAUAAGACAACAAUUUUGAGGGACGAAACAUAUUGUUUUGGAGAAGAUUAAAAGAAGCUACAACAUG